CAGUUUGCACAGUCUUGUAGUCCUUAAAAUCAAUUCCAGCAUCAUCCUUGACUUCCUCAACAACAUUAGUCAUAUCAAAUCCCAAGUCUUCCACCAUCUUCUCAUCAUCUCUUCUUUUAUGAUCAAAAUAAUUUUGCUGCACUAAUCUCUCCAUCAAUUCUAUCCACUCAGGCCAUGGGUGCACCAUCUCCACCUCCACCUUCUGCCCCCUAUUCUAC
RNAcentral lists this long non-coding RNA (218 nucleotides) under Gossypium raimondii (Peruvian cotton). RNAcentral describes it as "long non-coding RNA (GRAI_LNC011303)". Lineage: Eukaryota; Viridiplantae; Streptophyta; Magnoliopsida; Malvales; Malvaceae. The record is from RNAcentral.